This is a non-coding RNA of Heterocephalus glaber (naked mole-rat), 605 nucleotides long. The record is from RefSeq and is a predicted model, not a curated record. Lineage: Eukaryota; Metazoa; Chordata; Mammalia; Rodentia; Bathyergidae.
AGUCAGGGAUGGUGGUUCCAUAGGAUUAAAUCACCUAGUGACAUCGUAGCUCUGAUGUUCACACAAUGACAAAUCGGCUGGCAAUGCAGGUCUCAGAUCGGAUCCCCAUGGUUACACAGUGCAUCCUGGUAGUUUACGUGUGACAUGAUCCCAGGAAACACCAGCAGUGGGGAGGAAGGGAGAGCAGCCAAUCAGAGCGCCUGAUGGAAGCGUCCCCUGCAGGACCUCCAAGAGCCAGGGAGUGAUGACCAUCCCACCGCCCAUCAGCUUGGCAUCGAGAACAGCUACCUGGGUGGUGACAGUGCCUGGAUACUCUGCCAUGCCACGCUGAAAGGGUGAGCCCCACGGAUGUCAUCAAACCAGCGGAUUAGAAAUGCAAACCUAUGCUUUCAACUCUUCUUUCUAAAAGGCCCAGGGCUCCACCAGAAAGCACUACUGGCAUCAAGGAGAGCAUCAUCUCCAGACUGCAGCAGAGAUAAAACAAUCUCACAGGAGGAUUUCAAAGGGGUGACAACCAUCUGCUGCCUCCCCAGGUGAAUGAGCCAGCAGCCUGGGCAGCAUACACAAUGAGAGCUUUUCUUUAAUAAAUAGGAGGUUUCAACAUA